GACGAACGCUGGCGGCGUGCUUAACACAUGCAAGUCGAACGGUGAAGCGCCUUCCUUUUUGGUGGGUGUGGAUGAGUGGCGGACGGGUGAGUAACACGUUAGUAACCUUCUCCCUUCUUCUGGAUAACCGCAUGAAAGUGUUGCUAAUACGGGAUAUUCUGGGUCUGUCGCAUGAUGGGUCUGGGAAAGUUUUUGUUUCGGUUGGGGAUGGGCCCGCGGCCUAUCAGCUUGUUGGUGGGGUGAUGGCCUACCAAGGCGGUGACGAGUAGCCGGCCUGAGAGGGUGGGCGACCACAGUGGGGAUGCAAGACGGCCAAGCCUACGGCGGGCGGCAGUAGGGAGGAAUAUUGAACAGUGGGAGGCAGGACGAAGCAGCGACGCGGCGGGAGGGAUGGUGGCCGUCGCGUUGUGAACUUCUUUCGGGAGUGAAGCAAUGCGGCAGUGUCUGUGCGUGGGUUGACGGUAGCUGGUCAAGAAGCGCCGGCUAACUACGUG
RNAcentral lists this ribosomal RNA (494 nucleotides) under uncultured bacterium. RNAcentral describes it as "partial 16S ribosomal RNA". It matches the Rfam family "Bacterial small subunit ribosomal RNA", at positions 28 to 507 of the family's 1533-position model. The record is from RNAcentral.